UUUUUACAGGAAUGCACAAGCCUUCCCAACAAACCAUGUGUCAGAUUUGCAGCAGUGGUUUUUAUCAGAUCCACUGGGGCCAAGAGAACUGUGACGUGUGUCCUGAAAACCACUACUGCCCUAGUCCUGAUGUAAAUCCGAUCCAGUGUCCCGCUGAUGCGUUCUGUCCUGAGGGCAGCACGGCCCCUGGUUACUGCAUGGAGACCUUCUUCAGAAAGGCAGGGGAGACAUGUGAACUUGCUCCUGUUACCAUUGCACUGCUUGUUAUUGGAGGAGGAGUAGGUCUUCUCUUCAUCAUCGUUUUGGUUCUGCGGAAGAGAAGAGAUAAUGACAGCGAGCUUUCCCUUGCUCGGACGCCCCUCCUGCGAAAGGACCGCACACCUGGCCGCUUCCAUGGAGUCCCUCGUGAUGCAGAGCCUGUUUAUGCAGGCUGGUGACAUUAACAACUACACUGACCUGUUUUCAGCUGCACAGAUUUUGUCUGAAAGUUUCUGUUGAGAACUUUAUAUUG
Molecule: long non-coding RNA, 511 nt
Organism: Cyprinus carpio (common carp)
Lineage: Eukaryota; Metazoa; Chordata; Actinopteri; Cypriniformes; Cyprinidae
Source: Ensembl